AGGACGAACGCUGGCGGCGUGCUUAACACAUGCAAGUCGAACGGUGAAGCCCUUCGGGGUGGAUCAGUGGCGAACGGGUGAGUAACACGUGAGCAAUCUGCCCUUGACUCUGGGAUAACUUCGGGAAACCGGAGCUAAUACCGGAUAUGACGCAUGGCCGCAUGGUCUGUGUGUGGAAAGAUUUAUUGGUCAGGGAUGAGCUCGCGGCCUAUCAGCUUGUUGGUGGGGUAAUGGCCUACCAAGGCGACGACGGGUA
This 256-nucleotide ribosomal RNA is filed under the name uncultured bacterium. RNAcentral describes it as "partial small subunit ribosomal RNA". It matches the Rfam family "Bacterial small subunit ribosomal RNA", at positions 26 to 285 of the family's 1533-position model. The record is from RNAcentral.